UACGGAGGAGGCAAGCGUUAUCCGGAAUUAUUGGGCGUAAAGCGUCCGCAGGUGGCACCUCAAGUCUGCUGUCAAAGACCGGGGCUUAACCCCAGAAAGGCAGUGGAAACUGAAGUGCUAGAGUGCAGUAGGGGUAGAGGGAAUUCCCGGUGUAGCGGUGAAAUGCGUAGAUAUUCGGAAGAACACCGGUGGCGAAGGCGACCUUCUGGGCCGUUUCUGACGCUGAGGUACGAAAGCGUGGGGAGCAAACAGG
RNAcentral lists this ribosomal RNA (253 nucleotides) under uncultured bacterium. RNAcentral describes it as "partial 16S ribosomal RNA". It matches the Rfam family "Bacterial small subunit ribosomal RNA", at positions 524 to 776 of the family's 1533-position model. The record is from RNAcentral.